CCUAUAAGCGACGACAUCUUGUGCAACUUGUGAGCCGUUCUUAGGUCUGGGUCUUGCUGUGCUCUUUUUGCGAAGGCCACCUGGAGUAACAAAGAAAAGAAUAACUGAAUUAUUAAUCAUUCAUUUAGAUCCCUGAUAAAAAAAGAAAAGAAAAGAAACAUGAACCCAAUUCAUGAACACGAGACCAGAUCACUGCAGGUUGAUCCAAUCCAAGUAAAUGCUAACUAGAAUGCUUACAUUGCUAAUAGAAAACAGAUGAAAUCAGUUCAGUUAGUGACGAAUUAAAGUCUUCUUUUGUUCUCUGGGUGGAGAAUGUUAAUUCAAUUCAGGCAACCUACAGAAACCAAUGACUUCAAUGCCUCUUCCCUUCCCUUUUUCCUCCAAAAAAUGCAAUGGUCUAGAUCUAGAUCUUUGCAGUAAGUGGCCUGAAAUUGAAAUUGCCAAAAGAAUGGCGACUUCUAAAGUUUGCCACAAAAAGAAAAGAUAAUUUAGGACACGGCUAUAGGAUAAGAAAUUGCCAUUUUUUUUUUUUUGCUUGGAUAAGAAAGUACACAUAGGUUCUAGGAAGCUGUAGGCAAAAUUGCAGCCAAGAAUUAAAACCGUGUUACAUUGCCUGUACGUGGAAACAUUUUCUUUGAGUGAUAACAGUUUUGUCAUUUUAAUGUCUUCGAUUAUUCCGUGCAUCAACCAUAUUCGGGCAAAGGGGCAAAGUAGCAUUUUCCCAAGGAUUAUAUACAUCAGUCAAUGUCACAGGAAAAGAUGCAGCAAGUUGAUUCAAUCAAAAGCACCUCAACGUGCCUAUAUGAUAACCAUUUAGAAUUGCACAAAGAUGCAAUUGAAAGAACAGCUCAGUGUCAGUUUCCCGCACCCAGAUGUACAGUCAGAAUCCUAACAGUGCAAGUGUGGUGCCUCUAGUCAUUUUGCCCACGUGGAGGAACAUCUCCAUUAAAAAGUCCCAAAUCUUCCAUUUUUAGUUCGUUCUUGUCCCAGCUCUGACCCACUCUGGGCUCCAUAGAUGAGGAGUCCACGUAAAAGAAGUUUUCGUGGUCCUCACAUAACCAACUGAUGGAGGACUGAGGGCAAAGAUGAGAAACAAAAUUGUCCACGAUUCACUUUUACAAAAAUGUUAGAUGAUAAGACAAGAAUUCUGUGAGUUAUUAAUUUCACGAACUUACACUUUUAAAAGGGUGAGUAAUGAGGCAAAAUAUCUCUGAUAAUUCAUGCCUACAGUAGUCCCUACAGAAAUAGAAGUGUCAAAACCCAUAGCUAUUCCUGUAAGUGCUCGCAGCCGUUGGUAAUCCUUUGCGGCAACCAUCGACGGCUGGAGUUGUUGGACUAAUACUAAUAGUAGCUGCUCUCGAGGAGGAGAAAAUAGAUAUUAAACAAAGAAAUAUAGGUCACAACUUUGGAGAUACAGCAGUAAACAUCAAGAGGAAACAUUACAAAUAAGGAAUUCAUUGCUCCGGUGAGAAAUGUUAAAUGCUUAUUAUAAGAGGAUAAGGGGAAAUCAAUUAUAACUCGGUACAUUUACCUCCAUCAUCCCAGUGUGAACAGCUGAAACCAUGAAAGGCCGAACAGGUACUGACUGAACCCCCGGUUCAAAGCAAGCAGGGGAACUAGAUAUCUAGUAUUUGCAAGCCAUACUAUCAUGUUCAAGCACAAGAGAUAUGAAGCUUAAGAGAAUGUGGCAAGGAAGGAGACAUGGCUAGAAAACCAGCUGAUGUGCCAACGGGAAACCUUGUCAUAGGAUUUGUAUCAAAGAUUCAAAUGGAAAAUCUGGGAAGCGGCAAAGGGGUGCACAUAUCUCAUUUCUACUCAAGUUAUACUAGGUGACUGAAAAUGGCCCUAAUCAAUCCACGAAAGAAGAUAUGGGAGAGUUUAUGCAAUUCUUGAAUUCCACACAAUACCAAUAAUUGCUGAAUGUGUUGAGCUCCC
This is a long non-coding RNA of Diospyros lotus (date-plum), 1935 nucleotides long. RefSeq lists it as uncharacterized. The transcript has 3 exons. Lineage: Eukaryota; Viridiplantae; Streptophyta; Magnoliopsida; Ericales; Ebenaceae. The record is from RefSeq and is a predicted model, not a curated record.